Molecule: ribosomal RNA, 467 nt
Filed under: uncultured bacterium
Lineage: Bacteria
Description: partial 16S ribosomal RNA
Rfam family: Bacterial small subunit ribosomal RNA
Source: RNAcentral
GAUGAACGCUGGCGGCGUGCUUAACACAUGCAAGUCGAACGGAAAGGCCCAAGCUUGCUUGGGUACUCGAGUGGCGAACGGGUGAGUAACACGUGGGUGAUCUGCCCUGCACUUCGGGAUAAGCCUGGGAAACUGGGUCUAAUACCGGAUAGGACGAUGGUUUGGAUGCCAUUGUGGAAAGUUUUUUCGGUGUGGGAUGAGCUCGCGGCCUAUCAGCUUGUUGGUGGGGUAAUGGCCUAGCAAGGCGUCGACGGGUAGCCGGCCUGAGAGGGUGUACGGCCACAUUGGGACUGAGAUACGGCCCAGACUCCUACGGGAGGCAGCAGUGGGGAAUAUUGCACAAUGGGCGCAAGCCUGAUGCAGCGACGCCGCGGGGGGGAUGACGGCCUUCGGGUUGUAAACUCCUUUCGCUAGGGACGAAGCGUUUUGUGACGGUACCUGGAGAAGAAGCACCGGCUAACUACGUG